This 1364-nucleotide long non-coding RNA is filed under the name Sus scrofa (pig). Its description in RNAcentral is "lncRNA (ENSSSCG00025022559.1)". The record is from RNAcentral. Lineage: Eukaryota; Metazoa; Chordata; Mammalia; Artiodactyla; Suidae.
AGAAGCUGCAGCCGGAGGUGUCGCGAGCCGCAUCCAGAGCCGCUGACGAGGACCCGGGAUGUCGGAGCUGGAGAAGGCCGUGGUGGCCCUGAUUGACGUCUUCCAUCAGUAUUCUGGGAGGGAGGGGGACAAGCACAAGCUGAAGAAAUCCGAACUCAAGGAGCUCAUCAACAGCGAGCUUUCCCACUUCCUGGAGGAAAUCAAAGAGCAGGAGGUCGUGGACAAAGUCAUGGAGACACUGGACAGCGAUGGAGAUGGCGAGUGUGACUUCCAGGAAUUCAUGGCUUUUGUCGCCAUGGUUACCACUGCCUGCCACGAGUUCUUUGAACACGAGUGAACUGGAGAAAACCGACACGCAGUUCCUGCAGCGGAGACGUGCGCAUCGUGCAGGGCAGUGGAGGCAGGGCUUUGGCAGGACAGUAGGCGCUGAGCUUUCCGGCUGUGUUGUAGCUAAUUAGGAAGCUUGAUUUGCUUUGUGAAUGGAAAAUUUAAACCUCUUUCCAGGGGCAGUUUUUAGUGGCCCCCGUCAUUGCUCCUGCAAUACUGUGUAGACCCUUAGCCCAGAAAAAACAAACUGACCAGGAGCAUUGGGGUUUUCUUAAGCUUCCACUACAUUUAAAAAUACGAAGCCUUGUCCACUAUCCUUCGCAAAGGCUGCCCUUCGUUAAAUCUGUUCCUCACUGGGGCAAAUGAGACCUAUCAUGGGAGGGUGGCCUGACCAUCUGUGCCACCCACCCAAAGAGCGCGGCCACAUCUAGAUCCCUUCCCUGCGGUGUGCUGUGAUUGUUGCGCAUGUGAUGCUGCCAGUUCUGGGUGGAACAUCUGCCUCAGAAAGCAAGUGCUGACAUUAUCACUGUGAUUGGAACUGAGAAUGGAAAUUCUACCCUCGGUGGGGUUCUCCUCAGAGGAACACUCGCUGCCAGAUCUGGGGGGGCCACGUGGCUCAGGUGGCACGAGCGGGAGCAGGGGAGCUCAGGUGGGUCUCACGCUGCCUUGGAGACAGCUGUGCCCACCUCCUGCCCAGUCUGUAGAAGGAGGGCUUCCGGAAGAUGUGUCUGGUCCGCUGGAGAAGGUCGUUCCUGACCUGUGGAAUGUGAAGCCAGGGAGCCUAUUUAUGGCCUUUAUGCUUCUGUGUCCACAAAUUCAAAUACAUCAAGUUUCAAAUCAAAUAGUCAAGUUGCAAAUACUAGAAAUCACUUCCAAGAAAAUUCAAAUUACGCUUUCCACCCUUUUUCUGAUUUGCUGUUUUUAAGGACAGACUUGGGAGAUUCACGAACCAAUUGAUCGCUUGUAUUUGCAUUAAAUAAAAAGCAUUGUAACAAGUCUCCGAAGCUGUUAAACAUGAAAUAAAAGCUAAAUGCCUG